This 496-nucleotide ribosomal RNA is filed under the name uncultured Bacteroidota bacterium. RNAcentral describes it as "bacterial SSU rRNA". It matches the Rfam family "Bacterial small subunit ribosomal RNA", at positions 404 to 896 of the family's 1533-position model. The record is from RNAcentral. Lineage: Bacteria; Pseudomonadati; Bacteroidota.
CAGGAAGACUGCCCUAUGGGUUGUAAACUGCUUUUAUACGGGAAGAAACACUCCUUCGUGAAGGAGCUUGACGGUACCGUACGAAUAAGGAUCGGCUAACUCCGUGCCAGCAGCCGCGGUAAUACGGAGGAUCCAAGCGUUAUCCGGAAUCAUUGGGUUUAAAGGGUCCGUAGGCGGGAUAAUAAGUCAGUGGUGAAAGUCUGCAGCUCAACUGUAGAACUGCCAUUGAAACUGUUGUCCUUGAGUAAUUAUGAAGUGGUUAGAAUAUGUAGUGUAGCGGUGAAAUGCAUAGAUAUUACAUAGAAUACCGAUUGCGAAGGCAGAUCACUAAUAAUUUACUGACGCUGAUGGACGAAAGCGUAGGUAGCGAACAGGAUUAGAUACCCUGGUAGUCUACGCCGUAAACGAUGGUUACUAGCUGUUUGGCUCGAUUGAGAGCUGAGUGGCUAAGCGAAAGUGAUAAGUAACCCACCUGGGGAGUACGUUCGCAAGAAUG